Molecule: ribosomal RNA, 262 nt
Filed under: uncultured bacterium
Lineage: Bacteria
Description: partial 16S ribosomal RNA
Rfam family: Bacterial small subunit ribosomal RNA
Source: RNAcentral
UUAGUGGCGGACGGGUGAGUAACGCGUGGGUAACCUGCCCUAUACUGGGGGAUAACAGCUAGAAAUGGCUGCUAAUACCGCAUGAGCGCACAGUCCCGCAUGGGACAGUGUGGAAAACUCCGGUGGUAUAGGAUGGACCCGCGUCCGAUCAGCUGGUUGGUGGGGUAACGGCCCACCAAGGCGACGAUCGGUAGCCGACCUGAGAGGGUGACCGGCCACAUUGGGACUGAGACACGGCCCAAACUCCUACGGGAGGCAGCAG